Molecule: non-coding RNA, 32 nt
Filed under: Homo sapiens (human)
Lineage: Eukaryota; Metazoa; Chordata; Mammalia; Primates; Hominidae
Source: RNAcentral
UGGAUUUCCAGAAGCUGCUUGAUGAUUCUUCC